ACCUUUUUAUUUUGCCCUUUUAUUUUUUAAUAUUUCUAUAGUACCCUUUUGGGAUAUUAAAAACAAAUUAAACAAAAAGUCCAUUGUUUUUUUUCUUUCUUUCACUUCCCUUCGAGUUAUACUCCUUCAAAAUCUUCGCCAACUCUUCUCUUCUCCUUCCUCAUCCUUCCCCCAGAAACACUAGAUUUAGGGUUAGGGUUUGAGUUUUGAAUUUCCGAUUCAAACGUAAUCGACGACGGUGUCUAAGUAUUCAAAUGUGUGAGCAUUAGACGCUGAACUGAAGCGGUCAGAUCCCAAACAAAAUAAAAACAGAGAGAGAGAGAGAGAGAGAGAGAGAGAGAGAGAGAGAGAGAGAGAGAGAGAGAGAGAGAGAGAGAGAGAGGAAACGAUGAAGUAAUGGCGGGCAAGGAAGAGAGCGCAGUGAAGGAGACUGCUCUUGCCAAUCUUAUUGUAAGGUUUUUUGUCAUAGCUUUAAAAAAUGACCCAUUGUGUUUUCAGUUAGGUAUUUAUGCUAAUCUGAUCAUAUACCAAGAUAAUUCCUUGCAAGCAGUAUGGUCAAACAAUGAAGGUGAUCGAAGACUUAUUAGGGUGGAUAUUGUUAAUUGAGGAUUUCAAUAUUUGACCUUCGUCUUGGAAUGGAUGGCAGUGAUGAGAAUUCAAUUGUAAAGUGAUGCAGGUAUCUGAGAUGAUGUGAGAGGUGUAGAAUAAGGCAGCAACACAAACAUGGAAAAGUUUGAAGUUUCUAUUUAACAUGAUUGCAUGCCAGCAGCAAUACAAUAUGUUGGAAUGUUUAACAUCCUGAACAGCUCAUAUCUGGUAGCUAGAUCAUUCUUUUGAAGUUAGUGAAGAGCAAUAAUUUUAUGGAAAGCCAGCUUUCCUACUUGUAUAUAUGUUUCUAAUUUUCCAAAGAUGAAGUGUUGAUAAUGACCCUGCAUCUUUUUUACUGUGCCUUAACGAUGAGUUGUUACCACUCUUAGUAAAAUAAUGAGCACUAGUGUAGUUAUGAUUCA
Molecule: long non-coding RNA, 1010 nt
Organism: Ziziphus jujuba (common jujube)
Lineage: Eukaryota; Viridiplantae; Streptophyta; Magnoliopsida; Rosales; Rhamnaceae
Exons: 3
Source: RefSeq, a predicted model, not a curated record